RNAcentral lists this ribosomal RNA (459 nucleotides) under uncultured bacterium. RNAcentral's name for it is "partial 16S ribosomal RNA". It matches the Rfam family "Bacterial small subunit ribosomal RNA", at positions 339 to 795 of the family's 1533-position model. The record is from RNAcentral.
CUACGGGCUGCUCCAGUGAGGAAUAUUGGUCAAUGGGCGAAAGCCUGAACCAACCAAUCCGCGUGCAGGAUGACUGCCCUAUGGGUUGUAAACUGCUUUUAUACAGGAAGAACUUCCCCGACGUGUCGGGGCGUGACCGUACUGUAAGAAUAAGCAUCGGCUAACUCCGUGCCAGCAGCCGCGGUAAUACGGAGGAUGCAAGCGUUAUCCGGAUUUAUUAGGUCUAAAGGGUGCGUAGGCGGAUGAUUAAGUCAGUGGUGAAAUCCUACAGCUUAACUGUAGAACUGCCAUUGAUACUGGUUAUCUUGAGUUUAGUUGAGGUAGGCGGAAUGUGUGGUGUAGCGGUGAAAUGCUUAGAUAUCACACAGAACACCGAUUGCGAAGGCAGCUUACUAAGCUACAACUGACGCUGAGGCACGAAAGCGUGGGGAGCGAACAGGAUUAGAUACCCGCGUAGUC